RNAcentral lists this RNase P RNA (415 nucleotides) under Corynebacterium sp. RNAcentral describes it as "RNase P RNA component class A". It matches the Rfam family "Bacterial RNase P class A". Rfam says of the family: Ribonuclease P (RNase P) is a ubiquitous endoribonuclease, found in archaea, bacteria and eukarya as well as chloroplasts and mitochondria. Its best characterised activity is the generation of mature 5'-ends of tRNAs by cleaving the 5'-leader elements of precursor-tRNAs. Cellular RNase Ps are ribonucleoproteins. Lineage: Bacteria; Bacillati; Actinomycetota; Actinomycetes; Mycobacteriales; Corynebacteriaceae. The record is from RNAcentral.
UGAGCCGACCGGGUAAACGCGUCUUUGUAGCGAACCAGCCUUUUCUAAGGCCAGGCGCGGGACGAGGAAAGUCCGGACUCCACAGAGCACGGUGGUUGCUAACGGCAACCCGGGGUGACCCGCGGGCAAGUGCAACAGAAAGUAGACCGCCGCGCUUCGGCGCGCUUCGGCGCGUUGUGGUGCGGUAAGGGUGAAAGGGUGCGUUAAGAGCGCACCAGCAUCGUCAGCGAUGGCGAUGGCUGGGUAAACCCCACCGGGAGCAAGGCAUCAUGGCCGGCCCUUGUGGCGGGCUUGAUCAGGCGCGGGUAGGCUGCUCGCCGAAGCCUGAAGGUAGCCGCUUGAACCAGCUGGCAACGGUUGGUCUAGAUGGAUGUUUACCCUUCGACAGAAUCCGGCUUAUAGGUUGACUCAUUCG